RNAcentral lists this ribosomal RNA (502 nucleotides) under uncultured bacterium. Its description in RNAcentral is "bacterial SSU rRNA". It matches the Rfam family "Bacterial small subunit ribosomal RNA", at positions 19 to 518 of the family's 1533-position model. The record is from RNAcentral.
CUGGCUCAGGAUGAACGCUGGCGGCGUGCUUAAUACAUGCAAGUCGAACGAAGCGCUUACAGCCGAGUCCCUUCGGGGUGAAGCAGUUUGUGACUUAGUGGCGGACGGGUGAGUAACGCGUGGGUAACCUGCCUCAUGCAGGGGGAUAACAGUUAGAAAUGACUGCUAAUACCGCAUAAGCGCACGGCACCGCAUGGUGGAGUGUGAAAAGAUUUAUCGGCAUGAGAUGGACCCGCGCCUGAUUAGGUAGUUGGUGGGGUAACGGCCUACCAAGCCGACGAUCAGUAGCCGACUUGAGAGAGUGAUCGGCCACAUUGGGACUGAGACACGGCCCAGACUCCUACGGGAGGCAGCAGUAGGGAAUAUUGCACAAUGGGGGAAACCCUGAUGCAGCGACGCCGCGUGAGUGAAGAAGUAUUUCGGUACGUAAAGCUCUAUCAGCAGGGAAGAUAAUGACGGUACCUGACUAAGAAGCCCCGGCUAACUACGUGCCAGCCGCGGC